Molecule: transfer RNA, 115 nt
Filed under: Corynespora cassiicola Philippines
Lineage: Eukaryota; Fungi; Ascomycota; Dothideomycetes; Pleosporales; Corynesporascaceae
Rfam family: tRNA
About the family: Transfer RNA (tRNA) molecules are approximately 80 nucleotides in length. Their secondary structure includes four short double-helical elements and three loops (D, anti-codon, and T loops).
Source: Rfam by way of RNAcentral
GCAUCGGUGGUUUAGUGGUAAAAUUAGCCGUUGCCAUAGGAAGAUCAGGAAUUUACCCAACAUCCCUAAAUCUUCAGUAAUCGGCUAGCCCCGGGUUCGAUUCCCGGCCGAUGCA